RNAcentral lists this ribosomal RNA (42 nucleotides) under Calamagrostis purpurascens. Its description in RNAcentral is "partial 26S ribosomal RNA". Lineage: Eukaryota; Viridiplantae; Streptophyta; Magnoliopsida; Poales; Poaceae. The record is from RNAcentral.
CCNACCGCGACCCCAGGUCAGGCGGGACUACCCGCUGAAUUU